UUUCCGUAGGUGAACCUGCGGAAGGAUCAUUAAUACAAAACAUACAACCUAUGUUUGUCUAUUUGCCAUGAAAGCGAGAGCAAACAAGUGUUCUUUCUUCCCUCCAUUUAAAAACAAAAUGAACCACAGGGUAAAUCCUUAAUUGGGCUGAUCGGAAUUGAACUUACAAUAUCAAACAAACUCUAAAUUCAAUAUUUAAUGUACACUUAGAAUUUCCGAUAAAUCCAAAAAUACAACUUUCAUAAACACAUAUAUUUUAUCUCUCAAAAAUAAAAAAAAAUGUUUGCAGUGUUUUACUUUGAUUGAAAAUAAUAAUAGAACAAUCCAGACUCUUUGAUUGCCUUUGUCCCAAAAGAUCAAGUACCACCCAGUGCCCUCUUAAAGAUCCUUAACUUCCCUAUGAGCACCAGAGCGUGAGUCUAACUUUAGCGUUUUCAGUAUGACGCAUAAAACACAACACAAACAUUGUAUGCAGUUUAGAAUGUAUUUAACGUAUCUGAUAUAACAAAACAAAUACAACUUUCAACAACGGAUCUCUUGGCUCUC
RNAcentral lists this unclassified non-coding RNA (546 nucleotides) under plant metagenome. Its description in RNAcentral is "partial contains small subunit ribosomal RNA, internal transcribed spacer 1, and 5.8S ribosomal RNA". The record is from RNAcentral.